This is a long non-coding RNA of Quercus lobata, 171 nucleotides long. RefSeq lists it as uncharacterized. NCBI's taxonomy places the organism in Eukaryota, Viridiplantae, Streptophyta, Magnoliopsida, Fagales, Fagaceae. The record is from RefSeq and is a predicted model, not a curated record. The transcript has 2 exons.
AAUGUUGGCCUUGCCAUUGUCAUCUACCCCAUCAAUCUCUGCUAAGCAUUUAAAACAAAAGCACACCCAAACAUAACUCUAAAUGUUGGCCUGACCUUUAUAUUUAAUCAAGUAGCUCUUCUUGAAUAGCUACCAACUGUCUUAUAAGCCAGAGCAGAGAUGAUAGAUCUA